GACGAACGCUGGCGGCAGGCCUAACACAUGCAAGUCGACCGAGCGGCGGACGGGUGAGUAAUGUCUGGGAAACUGCCCGAUGGCGGGGGAUAACUACUGGAAACGGUAGCUAAUACCGCAUACCAUCGGAUGAGCCCAGAUGGGAUUAGCUAGUAGGUGGGGUAACGGCUCACCUAGGCGACGAUCCCUCGCUGGUCUGAGAGGAUGUCCAGCCACACUUGAACUGAGACACGGUCCAGACUCCUACGGUAGGCAGCAGUGGGGAAUAUUGCACAAUGGGCGCAAGCCUGCUGCAGCCAUGCCGCGUGUAUGAAGAAGGCCUUCGGUUUGUACAGUACUUUCAGCGAGGAGGCGUUACUCGCAGAAGAAGCACCGGCUAACUCCGUGCCAGCAGCCGCGGUAAUUC
This 406-nucleotide ribosomal RNA is filed under the name uncultured bacterium. RNAcentral describes it as "partial 16S ribosomal RNA". It matches the Rfam family "Bacterial small subunit ribosomal RNA", at positions 28 to 526 of the family's 1533-position model. The record is from RNAcentral.